CGUAGGGUAGAGCAGUCCGGUAGCUCACUUGGCUCAUAACCAAGAGGUCACAGGUUCGAAUCCUGUCCCUGCAA
RNAcentral lists this transfer RNA (74 nucleotides) under Gluconacetobacter entanii. RNAcentral's name for it is "tRNA-Met". It matches the Rfam family "tRNA". Rfam says of the family: Transfer RNA (tRNA) molecules are approximately 80 nucleotides in length. Their secondary structure includes four short double-helical elements and three loops (D, anti-codon, and T loops). Further hydrogen bonds mediate the characteristic L-shaped molecular structure. tRNAs have two regions of fundamental functional importance: the anti-codon, which is responsible for specific mRNA codon recognition, and the 3' end, to which the tRNAs corresponding amino acid is attached (by aminoacyl-tRNA synthetases). tRNAs cope with the degeneracy of the genetic code in two manners: having more than one tRNA (with a specific anti-codon) for a particular amino acid; and 'wobble' base-pairing, i.e. permitting non-standard base-pairing at the 3rd anti-codon position. The record is from RNAcentral. Lineage: Bacteria; Pseudomonadati; Pseudomonadota; Alphaproteobacteria; Acetobacterales; Acetobacteraceae.